Molecule: transfer RNA, 78 nt
Filed under: Megalops atlanticus (tarpon)
Lineage: Eukaryota; Metazoa; Chordata; Actinopteri; Elopiformes; Megalopidae
Description: tRNA-OTHER
Source: RNAcentral
GGCAGUGUAGCGUAGUGGUUAAGGAGCAGGACUCGUAACCGAAAGGUUGCCGGUUCAAUCCCUGCCGGGACGCUGCUG